GAAAAAAGCAAAUCAAUAAACAGUAUUUGUAUAAAAAAAAAUGAUUUCUUAUUCACAAUCCAAUGAAUCCUAUCUAAUAUGUGACAUGUUCUAACUAUAAUAAAUUUUCCAAAGUUUUCAAGAACAACAAAUCACGAUUCGCUCCAUUGUCGAUUCUCACACUUGCAAAUGCAACUCAAUCCGACUAAAAUAUCAGCAAUGGCAGCUUCCGUCUUCUCUUUAUCCGAAAAAUGCAAUGUUUGCAGCAACAACACAGAAGGUUUGAUAUCGAACUUUGUCUUCUCUAAGUUUCUUUCAAGCUGCCAAUUGAUAGUGUUAUGAGCCAUUGGCGCUAACCAUUCCAUAAUUUGCUUCAAUGCAUCCCUCCACCCCUCAGCUAACGACUCGUCCUCAUCCAUACACUUCAAAUUCUUGCUCAAUUUCGAUCUCACUGUUUUCUUCAGAUUCACUGGCAACAUUUGAUACAAAUUUUCUCGUGAACUUAGGUCUACGGAUUCAGAUGGAUUCGAAUACUUCUCUACCAAUGUGAUCACAUUUGCAUAACGCAACGCUAGCCCUGCACCUCCUACAGUUAAUGGCCCUGCUGCGUGAAACACCCUGUUGUUUUUCGCCAAUUUGUCUACCCCAAAACCUUCGUCUUCACAUAAGAAAAAUAUGGAUUUUCUGCUGUAAAAUCGAACCAGAGUUGGCUUAGACGUCGUGGGGAUUGGUCCAGACCGCGAAAUGAUCUGUUCCCUAAUAGGCUCAAUCAAACAAUUCUCAGGCUGAACUUUGAGAAUCUCUUUCUGCUGCGAUGAACGCAUGUUACGCAACGAUAGUGAAGGAAGAAUCGGUAUGUAAGGUCCAAACACAAUGCAAAUACGAGCAUAUAUUAUACAGACGAUUCGCGCCAUGUGACCAACGCUUUUAUCAAAUGUUUGAUUCCAUAAUGAGUUUUCCCUAAAUUGACGAACUUGUUUCCUCUGUUGUUCAAGUUUCUGAUGAAACACAUCCAAAUUCACCUUCUGCAACCGCCCUGAACCUUUUCGUUCCGUCCAUUGUUUCAUUUUCCGUUCGGAUACCUCCAAUUCCGCUAAACUCUCCAAUGCUGCGUACAAUCCAGACGUAGCGUUAAUCAAUUUCUCCAUUUUGAAAACACGUUUCUCAAUAUCUUUGGAUCCGUAUUCCAAUUUACCAAAAUCAAUAAUCCCUAAUUUCAAAUCGGUAUACACAAGAUCAAAUCGAUUCAGGCCAAAAUCAGUGCAUUUAUGGCCUAAUCUAGAUACAGCUGCAGCGGCUUUAUCAAGAUCUUCAAGCCUCUCAGCACACGCCAGGCUUAAAAGAAAUCCUUCGUCUUUCGAAUUCAAGUACGAUACCCCACGUGAGUUCAUCUCUGUUUUGAGAUUUGAAAUCUCAGACUCAGAUAGAGAUUUGUACAAACAGAGCAAUCUUGACAUGAUUUUCGCCGUCUCAAAUGAUAAAAUCCCCAUUUUGUUCAUAUCAUCCCCUGUUUUUGAGCUGUCUGAACUACGCCAACCCAUUUUCGCAAAACCAACCAUUGAUAGAAAUAGAUAGAUAAAGGGUAUGUUAAUAUGUUUUUGUGUUUUUUUUCGAGUUCUUUGAUAAAUA
This 1608-nucleotide unclassified non-coding RNA is filed under the name Hevea brasiliensis (rubber tree). The record is from RNAcentral. Lineage: Eukaryota; Viridiplantae; Streptophyta; Magnoliopsida; Malpighiales; Euphorbiaceae.